Long non-coding RNA from Perca fluviatilis (European perch), 391 nucleotides. RefSeq lists it as uncharacterized. The record is from RefSeq and is a predicted model, not a curated record. The transcript has 3 exons. NCBI's taxonomy places the organism in Eukaryota, Metazoa, Chordata, Actinopteri, Perciformes, Percidae.
GGCUUCAUUAUCAGCCUCUUUUUCUUGUUGCGGUGAUGCAGGUCGGACGUGUUGCGGCGUAGGGAGACACAGAACAACGUGCGUGGCGCUUCGUUGACGGAUUUUUAAGAGCCUGGACUGGAUUUAUCGUGAUAAGGUAUUGGAAACACCGUGAACUGAAUCCACUGCUGGAUCACACUAGUUUGGUAUUUUGAAGUUGGUGUUAUUUAUAGCGGUGUUCAGUUGUAAAGCAGUUUGAAACUAGAUUUAUUAGCUGCCUGAAAAUAUGGCAUCCUUAUUUUUAUUUUAUAAAUCUAUGCACAUGUAUACGGGUGUUUUUGUUUCCUUAAAAUCUUGUGACACUGUAUGAACUAAAAUUCACAAUGGUAAAUAAAGUGACAGUUUUAAACUG